CUGGCGGACAUAGUGCGGGAGGGACUUCGGCUCCGCCAACAGCAUAUGUACAGAUUGCAGAAUUGUGGUCAAGAAGUAAUCAGGUCACAUCACUUCACUGAUCGGCUUCAAUUCCGCACUUUCAUCAUGUGCCCUCAAGUGAAUAGUCAAUCCACCAUGGCACCCUGAGAGAACAACCAAGGUCCAGCACCCUAGCAAGCAGCACUGCCUUGCACCGAAAGUUGUCUGUAUAAUCAGGUGUCUUCAUGAUUGAGUUUUAAAGCAAAUGUCUUCUUCAACGUAAUGCCGAGACCACUUUGAGU
This is a non-coding RNA of Dermacentor albipictus, 302 nucleotides long. Lineage: Eukaryota; Metazoa; Arthropoda; Arachnida; Ixodida; Ixodidae. The record is from RefSeq and is a predicted model, not a curated record.